GUUUGAUCCUGGCUCAGAGUGAACGCUGGCGGCAGGCCUAACACAUGCAAGUCGAACGGCAGCACAGGAGAGCUUGCUCUCUGGGUGGCGAGUGGCGGACGGGUGAGGAAUGCGUCGGAAUCUGCCUAUUCGUGGGGGAUAACGUAGGGAAACUUACGCUAAUACCGCAUACGACCUACGGGUGAAAGUGGGGGACCUUCGGGCCUCACGCGGAUAGAUGAGCCGACGCCGGAUUAGCUAGUUGGCGGGGUAAAGGCCCACCAAGGCGACGAUCCGUAGCUGGUCUGAGAGGAUGAUCAGCCACACUGGGACUGAGACACGGCCCAGACUCCUACGGGAGGCAGCAGUGGGGAAUAUUGGACAAUGGGCGCAAGCCUGAUCCAGCCAUGCCGCGUGUGUGAAGAAGGCCUUCGGGUUGUAAAGCACUUUUGUUGGGGAAGAAACAGCGCAGGUUAAUAACCGGCGUGAAUGACGGUACCCAAAGAAUAAGCACCGGCUAACUUCGUGCCAGCAGCCGCGGUAAUACGAAGGGUGCAAGCGUUACUCGGAAUUACUGGGCGUAAAGCGUGCGUAGGCGGUUUGUUAAGUCUGAUGUGAAAGCCCCGGGCUCAACCUGGGAAUGGCAUUGGAUACUGGCAGGCUAGAAUGUGGUAGAGGGUGGUGGAAUUCCCGGUGUAGCGGUGAAAUGCGUAGAGAUCGGGAGGGAACAUCCGUGGCGAAGGCGGCCACCUGGACCAACAUUUGACGCUGAG
Molecule: ribosomal RNA, 752 nt
Filed under: uncultured bacterium
Lineage: Bacteria
Description: bacterial SSU rRNA
Rfam family: Bacterial small subunit ribosomal RNA
Source: RNAcentral